GGUCGUGUGGCCUAAUGGAUAAGGCGUCGGACUUCUAAUCCGAGAAUUGCGGGUUCGAGUCCCGCCACGAUUA
RNAcentral lists this transfer RNA (73 nucleotides) under Daphnia pulex (common water flea). Its description in RNAcentral is "tRNA-Arg". It matches the Rfam family "tRNA". From Rfam's summary of the family: Transfer RNA (tRNA) molecules are approximately 80 nucleotides in length. Their secondary structure includes four short double-helical elements and three loops (D, anti-codon, and T loops). Lineage: Eukaryota; Metazoa; Arthropoda; Branchiopoda; Diplostraca; Daphniidae. The record is from RNAcentral.